Molecule: ribosomal RNA, 408 nt
Filed under: uncultured Methylomirabilota bacterium
Lineage: Bacteria; Methylomirabilota (SeqCode)
Description: bacterial SSU rRNA
Rfam family: Bacterial small subunit ribosomal RNA
Source: RNAcentral
CGUGGAGACAGGUGGUGCAUGGCUGUCGUCAGCUCGUGUCGUGAGAUGUUGGGUUAAGUCCCGCAACGAGCGCAACCCUCACCCCUUGUUGCCAUCAGGUCAUGCUGGGCACUCUAGAGGAACUGCCCCGGUCAACGGGGAGGAAGGCGGGGAUGACGUCAAGUCAUCAUGCCCCUUACGUCCUGGGCUACACACGUGCUACAAUGGCCGGUACAAAGGGAUGCCACACCGCGAGGUAGAGCUAAACCCAAAAAGCCGGUCUAAGUUCAGAUUGGAGUCUGCAACUCGACUCCAUGAAGGAGGAAUCGCUAGUAAUCGCGUAUCAGCACGACGCGGUGAAUACGUUCCCGGGCCUUGUACACACCGCCCGUCACACCACGAAAGCCUGCUGUACUCGAAGUCGCUGAG